CGGGCGAGAGGACGCGCAGGGAAGGCGCCCGGGAUGCGGAGCACAGCGAGGGACAUCCGGCGUCUGCCGGCCCAGGGUCGCCGUCUGCAGCCGCCAGAGUCCACAGCUCGCCCUUCCCCAGUCCCUUCUGGUCAGUCAAUGCCGUGGGGCCAGUGAACUCAGGGCUGCUACCCCGGGCGAGUCAGGCUUAAUGGGACGUGCAGAGAAGCCUGUCAGUCUUCUAUCCAUGCAAUCCAUCCGAGUGCAGGAGGUAAUCAAGGCAAGAUCUUACUUUGAGGGCUGACAAUCUUCCAACCUCCAGGAACGACUGAUCAACUGACACGACUCCCGGACCCAGAUGGAAACAACCAGCGAGGCCUAGGACGGGCCUGUCCACGUGGAAGCCUGCGCAGGGUGAAGAGCCGACCCAGCGGAGCCCCCACCACCGAGACCCGACUCCCAGACCCUACUGGAGCACCCGAUGCUGAGACCAGAGGAUCCGGAGUGAAGACCCGACCAGCGGGAGCGCCUGACGGCGACCCCCGUGUCCCGACCUAUCCGGAUGCCUGUCCAUUGGAGGCAGCGGAGUCCCAAGGCCUGACCCAAUGCGAGGCCUGACCCGAUGCGGGCCCGACCCGACGCGAGGCCUGACCUGCGGGGACGCCCGACGCCAGGGCCCAACAUCAGGGCCCUUCUGGAUCAGAUGCCCGACGCAACGGGACACCAGGGGCCGAGUCCUGACGCUGAGGCCCCCCUUGACGCCCCCACUUACCUGCUGGGGUAGACCACUCCUCUUCAGGAUCUUCAGACCUGUAUGAGGACAACAACUUACCUCACAGGCCAGCUGAAUCCAUUCCAGGUCUUCCAAGUCUGUUCAUGAGCUGUCACUUACCUUCCAGUUCAGGUAAAUCUGCUCCAGGUCUUCAAGGUCUGCCCAGAAGAAAUCACUUACCUUCCAGUCCAGGUGAAUCCACUCCAGGUCAUCCAGGUCUGUCCUUAAGCAGUCACUUACCAGCUGGCUCCACUCCGGGACCGACGAGUUGCAGCCACUUACCUCGGAAGUGUGGUAAGAGGGCUGGGCUGCAGGUGAGACUGAAACAGCGUGGGUACAAGGCCCCCCCCCCCCCCCCACUGCCCCCAGCAUACCACUAGCUAAUGACCAGGCCAUUGAGAAAAAAGUUGAUGAACUAAGGGCAAGAUUGACCUACCAAAGAGAACUGAGGGACUGCUGUGUGCUAUGUCUCACGGAAACAUGGCUUACACCUGCUUCACCUAACUGAGCUAUACAACCUGAGGGCUUCUCAAUCCACCGAAUGGACCGUAAAGCGUCCUCAGGCAAAGUUAGAGGUGGAGGGGUCUGCUUCUUAAUCAAUAACAUGGUGCUCGGACGUGACGGUCCUGGCGAGCUCCUGCUCACCCAGCCUGGAAUAUCUCAAGGUGAAGUGUCGACCAUUCUACCUGCCAAGGGAGUUCACUUCAGCUAUCCUGAUGGCAGUCUACAUCCCACGCCAGACGGACAUGAAGCCUGCACUCAAUGAACUAUACUCUGUGAUCAACAGCCUUGAGACUGGGUACCCUGAGACCCUCUUCAUUAUUGCAGGUGACUUCAACCGGGCCAACCUCAAGAGUGUGUCACCAAAAUAUUACCAGCACGUCUCCUGUCCCACCAGGGGCCCAAACACCCUUGAUCAUUGCUAUACAACCAUUAAAGAUGCCUUCCGAGCCACCCUCCCGUCCACACAUUAGUAAAUCAGACCACCAGGCUGUGCUCCUUCCCCCUGCGUACAAACAGAAACUGAAACGGGAGCAUCCAGUACAGAAGGUGGUACAGUGCUGGUCUGAGGAAAUAGAUGAACUUCUGCACGACUGCUUUGAGUCAGCGGACUCAAUGAUCAAAGAGACAGCUGCCAGCCUAGAUGAGUAUGUCACCACCAUCACAGACUUUAUCAGCAAGUGUGUGGAGGACUGUGUACCAAAGAGGACCAUCCAGGUGUUCCCAAACCAGAAACCAUGGAUGAACCAGGAGAUCCACUCCCUGCUGAAGUCCAGGACUGCAGCAUUCAAAUCAGAUGAACCUGACCUUUACAAGAAAUCGAGAUACAUAGAACAGCGCAGUACAGGCCCUUCAGCCCACGAUGUGCCUGCUCUAAGAUCUAUCUAACCCUUACCUCCCACAUAGCUCCCCAUUUCUCUGUCAUUCAUGUGGCUACCUAAGGGUCUCUUAAAUGCCCCCACAACCUCUGCCAGCAGUGUGUUCCACACACCCACCACCCUCUGUGUAGAAAACUUACCUCUGACAUCCCCCCUAUACCUUCCUCCCAUCACCUUAAAAUUAUGUCCCCUCGUGUUAGCCAUUUUCGCCCUGAGAAAAAGUCUCUGACGGUCCACUCGAUCUAUGCCUCUUAUCAUCUUGUACACCUCUAUCAAGUCCCCUCUCAUCCUCCUUCUCUCCAAAGAGGAAAGCCCUAACUCACUCAACCUAUCCUCAUAAGACAUGCUCUCCAAUCCAGGCAGCAUCCUGGUAAGUCUCCUCUGCACCUUCCCUAACGCUUCCACAUCCUUGCUAUAAUGAGGCAACUGAACUAAACACAAUAUAUGACCUCUGUAAAGCUAUCAGGGAUGCCAGCAGACAAAACCAGGCCAAAAUCAAGUCCCAGACCAGCUGUCAGUUGUGGUAGGGCUUACAUGCUAUAACGGGCUACAGAACAAAGCUGGGCAGCAUCGCCAAGAACAGUGCAUCCCUUCCCAAUGAGAGAACAUUCUAUGCAUGUUUUGAACAGAAGGGGAUUGGAUUGUCACCACCCACCCUGAUAGCCUCCAAUGCACCUGAACCCGUAGUCACUGUCAAGGAUGUAAGAUCAGUCUUCCGGAGAGUGAACCCGAGGAAAGCAUCUGGCCCGGAUGGUGUCCCUGGCUGUGUGCUCAGAUCUUGUGCUGAUCAGCUGGCAGGGGUAUUUGCAGACAUAUUUAACCUCUCCCUGCUUCAAUCUGAGGUUGCCACCUGUUUUAAGAAGACCACUAUCAUCCCAGUACCUAAGAAAAACAAGGUAACGUGCCUUAAUGACUACUGACUGGUGGCUCUGAAACCCACCAUCAUGAAGUGCUUCAAGAUGUUGGUCACGGCACGCAUUAACUCCAGAGGUUGGUCAGAGCAUGCAAAACCUCGACCCACUGCAAUCCGCCUACCACUGAAACAGGUCUACAGUGGAUGCCAUCUCCCUGGCCCUACACUCAUCUCUGGAGCAUCUGGACAGUAAAGACACCUAUGUUAGACUAUUGUUUAUUGACUACAGCUCUGCCUUCAAUACUAUAAUUCCAACCAAACUCAUCACCAAACUUCGAGACCUGGGACUCAACACCUCCCUCUGCAACUGGAUCCUUGACUUCCUGACCAACAGACCGCAAUCAGUGUGGAUAGGCAGCAACACCUCCAGCAUGAUUAUUCUCAACACUGGCGCCCCACAAGGCUGCGUCCUCAGCCCCCUAUUCUGCUCCCUAUACACUCAUGACUGUGUGGCCAGAUUCUGCUCUAACUCCAUCUACAAAUUUGCAGAUGAUACCACUGUAGUGGGCUGUAUAUCAAAUAACGAUGUCAGAGUAUAGGAAGGAAAUAGAGAGCUUAGUGACAUGGUGUCAUGACAACAACCUUUCCCUCAAUGUCAGCAAAACAAAAGAGCUGGUCAUUGACUUCAGGAGAGGGGGCGGUGUACAUGCACCUGUCUACAUCAAUGGUGCUGAGGUCAAGAGGGUUGAGAGCUUCAAGUUCCUGGGAGUGAACAUCACCAGUAGCCUGUCCUGGUCCAACCACGUAGAUGCCACGGCCAAGAAGGCUCACCAGCGCCUCUACUUUCUCAGGAGGCUAAAGAAAUUUGAUAAGAUAUCCUUAUUAGUCACAUGUACAUCGAACCACACAGUGAAAUGUAUCUUUUUGUGUAGAGUGUUCUGGGGGCAGCCCGCAAGUGUCGCCACUCUUCCGGCACCAACAUAGGAUGCCCACAACUUCCUAACCCGUACGUCUUUGGAAUGUGGGAGGAAACCGGAGCACCCGGAGGAAACCCACGCAGACACAUGGGGAGAACGUACAAACUCCUUUCAGUCGGCAGCUGGAAUUGAACCUGCAUCACUGUCACUGUAACCACUAUACUACUGUACCCCUUUGACGCUCACCAACUUUUACCGAUGCACCAUAGAAAGCAUCCUAUCUGAAUGUAUCACAGCUUGGUAUGGCAACUGCUCUGCCCAGGACCACAAGAAACUGCAGAGAGUUGUGGACACAGCUCAGCACAUCACAGAAACAAGCCUCCCCUCCAUGGACUCUGUCUAUACUUCCCGCUGCCUUGGUGAAGCAGCCAGCAUAAUCAAAGACCCCACCCACCCAAGACAUUCUCUCUUCUCCCCUCUCCCAUCAGGCAGAAGAUACAUGAGCCUGAGGGCACAUACUACCCUCAAGGACAGCUUCUAUCCUGUUGUAAUAUGGAUCCCUUAUACGAUAAGAUGGACUCUUGACCUCACAAUCUACCUUGUUAUAAUCUUGCACCUUAUUGUCUACCUGCACUGCAUUUCCUCUGCAGCUGGGAUACUUUACUCUGUAUUCUGUCAUUGUUUUACCCUGUACUACCUCAAUGCACUGUAAUUAAUUGAUCUGCAUGAAUGGUAUGCAAGACGAGUUUUCCACUGUACCUCAGUACAAGUGACAAUAAUAAACCAAU
Molecule: long non-coding RNA, 4688 nt
Organism: Pristis pectinata (smalltooth sawfish)
Lineage: Eukaryota; Metazoa; Chordata; Chondrichthyes; Rhinopristiformes; Pristidae
Exons: 3
Source: RefSeq, a predicted model, not a curated record